Molecule: long non-coding RNA, 217 nt
Organism: Acyrthosiphon pisum (pea aphid)
Lineage: Eukaryota; Metazoa; Arthropoda; Insecta; Hemiptera; Aphididae
Exons: 2
Source: RefSeq, a predicted model, not a curated record
UAAUCAAUCAUAUAAAAUAUAAAUACAUAAUUAAUGUACAUAUUUUUAUUUUAGGCUUAGAUGUUGCCUCAAUUUACUGCCUUAAGAAAUGCCUGGAUUGAAAGAUAUGUCGAUGCAACAACCAGGAAAUAAUAACAAAAGAGAGCUUAACGAAAAACCAAUUAUGCCGUACCACCGAAACAGCGUCAAUUCAAAUGGAUACUCAACAGGUACACGA